Non-coding RNA from Macaca mulatta (Rhesus monkey), 563 nucleotides. NCBI's taxonomy places the organism in Eukaryota, Metazoa, Chordata, Mammalia, Primates, Cercopithecidae. The record is from RefSeq and is a predicted model, not a curated record.
GGAUACAGUAAUGAAGAAUAAAGUAUCUACUUUCUUGAAAAUCUGAGUCUAUCAGGGAGAGAGAUAGCACUCCAAUAGUGGAUUAAUUGUGAUUAUGAACAUCUACUAUAAUGGAUAGUAGAGAAGAUAAUUUGUAUGUAAUUGAAGGACCACAUUCUUCUUAGCUUGAAGUCAUUGUGAUAGCAUCACAUGGAGCCUACCUGGCAUGUCAUAAGCAGCAAUUCUGAGGUUUCGAAAGAGCUUCUUGCUGAACUUCUUGUUCAGUUUGCCUCCACGCUUUCCCCUACCACCAGAAAAUUUAAACAAAACAACCUGCUUUUGCCUGAAUGACCUAGGUAACAACCUACUUUAGCUUGAGCUGCUUAGAUAUUUCAGCUAAAAAUGGCUUAUUUCCAUGAGUCACCUGGAUAAUUGCAUUACUCUGCUGGCCCACUUAGCUGGGUGGGCCAGCAGGUGUUAAGUGCAAGUGUCAACGAGUACUUCAUUGUUUUCCACUCUAUGGAUAGUACUGUGACAGUUUCUUAGUGCCUGGAGAAGUACCUCUUGAUUCAAUUUCAGCCCUU